UUAGAGUUUGAUCAUGGCUCAGGAUGAACGCUGGCGGCGUGCCUAAUACAUGCAAGCCGAGCGAAUGACUAGAAGCUUGCUUCUAUGACGUUAGCGGCGGACGGGUGAGUAACACGUGGGCAACCUGCCUGUAAGACUGGGAUAACUUCGGGAAACCGGAGCUAAUACCGGAUAACCCCUUUCCUCACAUGAGGAAAGGCUGAAAGAUGGUUUCGGCUAUCACUUACAGAUGGGCCCGCGGCGCAUUAGCUAGUUGGUGAGGUAACGGCUCACCAAGGCCACGAUGCGUAGCCGACCUGAGAGGGUGAUCGGCCACACUGGGACUGAGACACGGCCCAGACUCCUACGGGAGGCAGCAGUAGGGAAUCUUCCGCAAUGGACGAAAGUCUGACGGAGCAACGCCGCGUGAGUGAUGAAGGUUUUCGGAUCGUAAAACUCUGUUGUUAGGGAAGAACAAGUAUCGGAGUAACUGCCGGUACCUUGACGGUACCUAACCAGAAAGCCACGGCUAACUACGUGCCAGCAGCCGCGGUAAUACGUAGGUGGCAAGCGUUGUCCGGAAUUAUUGGGCGUAAAGCGCGCGCAGGUGGUUCCUUAAGUCUGAUGUGAAAGCCCACGGCACAACCGUGGAGGGUCAUUGGAAACUGGGGAACUUGAGUGCAGAAGAGGAAAGUGGAAUUCCAAGUGUAGCGGUGAAAUGCGUAGAGAUUUGGAGGAACACCAGUGGCGAAGGCGACUUUCUGGUCUGUAACUGACACUGAGGCGCGAAAGCGUGGGGAGCGAACAGGAUUAGAUACCCUGGUAGUCCACGCCGUAAACGAUGAGUGCUAAGUGUUAGAGGGUUUCCGCCCUUUAGUGCUGCAGCAAACGCAUUAAGCACUCCGCCUGGGGAGUACGACCGCAAGGUUGAAACUCAAAGGAAUUGACGGGGGCCCGCACAAGCGGUGGAGCAUGUGGUUUAAUUCGAAGCAACGCGAAGAACCUUACCAGGUCUUGACAUCCUCUGACAAUCCUAGAGAUAGGACUUUCCCCUUCGGGGGACAGAGUGACAGGUGGUGCAUGGUUGUCGUCAGCUCGUGUCGUGAGAUGUUGGGUUAAGUCCCGCAACGAGCGCAACCCUUGAUCUUAGUUGCCAGCAUUCAGUUGGGCACUCUAAGGUGACUGCCGGUGACAAACCGGAGGAAGGUGGGGAUGACGUCAAAUCAUCAUGCCCCUUAUGACCUGGGCUACACACGUGCUACAAUGGAUGGUACAAAGGGCUGCAAGACCGCGAGGUUUAGCCAAUCCCAUAAAACCAUUCUCAGUUCGGAUUGCAGGCUGCAACUCGCCUGCAUGAAGCCGGAAUCGCUAGUAAUCGCGGAUCAGCAUGCCGCGGUGAAUACGUUCCCGGGCCUUGUACACACCGCCCGUCACACCACGAGGGUUUGUAACACCCGAAGUCGGUGGGGUAACCUUUUGGAGCCAGCCGC
Molecule: ribosomal RNA, 1469 nt
Filed under: Cytobacillus eiseniae
Lineage: Bacteria; Bacillati; Bacillota; Bacilli; Caryophanales; Bacillaceae
Description: bacterial SSU rRNA
Rfam family: Bacterial small subunit ribosomal RNA
Source: RNAcentral